CAGUAGCCGCGGGAAUACGUAGGGUGCAAGCGUUAAUCGGAAUUACUGGGCGUAAAGCGUGCGCAGGCGGUUCGCUAAGACAGAUGUGAAAUCCCCGGGCUCAACCUGGGAAUGGCAAUGGAUACUGGCAAGCUAGAGUGUGUCAGAGGAUGGUGGAAUUCCCGGUGUAGCGGUGAAAUGCGUAGAGAUCGGGAGGAACAUCAGUGGCGAAGGCGGCCAUCUGGGACAACACUGACGCUGAGGCACGAAAGCGUGGGGAGCAAACAGGAUUAGAUACCCCCGUAGUCCCUGUCUCUUAUAC
This 301-nucleotide ribosomal RNA is filed under the name uncultured bacterium. RNAcentral describes it as "partial 16S ribosomal RNA". It matches the Rfam family "Bacterial small subunit ribosomal RNA", at positions 509 to 807 of the family's 1533-position model. The record is from RNAcentral.